This 60-nucleotide transfer RNA is filed under the name Zorotypus medoensis. Its description in RNAcentral is "tRNA-Lys". The record is from RNAcentral. Lineage: Eukaryota; Metazoa; Arthropoda; Insecta; Zoraptera; Zorotypidae.
CUUUAGGUGUCCGAUAAAGGUAAUGGUCUCUUAAACCAUCUAUAGUUAAUCUUCUAAAGA